GAGUUUGAUCCUGGCUCAGGAUGAACGCUGGCGGCGUGCUUAACACAUGCAAGUCGAACGAAACACCUUAUUUGAUUUUCUUCGGAACUGAAGAUUUGGUGAUUGAGUGGCGGACGGGUGAGUAACGCGUGGGUAACCUACCCUGUACAGGGGGAUAACAGUCAGAAAUGACUGCUAAUACCGCAUAAGACCACAGCACCGCAUGGUGCAGGGGUAAAAACUCCGGUGGUACAGGAUGGACCCGCGUCUGAUUAGCUGGUUGGUGAGGUAACGGCUCACCAAGGCGACGAUCAGUAGCCGGCUUGAGAGAGUGAACGGCCACAUUGGGACUGAGACACGGCCCAAACUCCUACGGGAGGCAGCAGUGGGGAAUAUUGCACAAUGGGGGAAACCCUGAUGCAGCGACGCCGCGUGAGUGAAGAAGUAUCUCGGUAUGUAAAGCUCUAUCAGCAGGGAAGAAAAUGACGGUACCUGACUAAGAAGCCCCGGCUAACUACGUGCCAGCCGCCGCGGUAAUAC
RNAcentral lists this ribosomal RNA (519 nucleotides) under uncultured bacterium. Its description in RNAcentral is "bacterial SSU rRNA". It matches the Rfam family "Bacterial small subunit ribosomal RNA", at positions 9 to 526 of the family's 1533-position model. The record is from RNAcentral.